UGCCUGGUGGUCCAGUGGUUAAGACUCUGCACUCCCAAUGCAGAGAGUGCAGGUUCAGCCCCUGGUUGGGGAA
RNAcentral lists this transfer RNA (73 nucleotides) under Ovis aries (sheep). It matches the Rfam family "tRNA". From Rfam's summary of the family: Transfer RNA (tRNA) molecules are approximately 80 nucleotides in length. Their secondary structure includes four short double-helical elements and three loops (D, anti-codon, and T loops). Lineage: Eukaryota; Metazoa; Chordata; Mammalia; Artiodactyla; Bovidae. The record is from Rfam by way of RNAcentral.